GGAGACAAACAACAAAAAAUAAGUCUCAGUUGGAUUGAAGGCUGAAAUUCGCCUUCAUGAAGCCGGAAUUGCUAGUAAUGGCAGGUCAGCAUACUGCCGUGAAUACGUUCCCGGGCCUUGUACACACCGCCCGUCACACCAUGAGAGUUGGGAAUACCCGAAGCCUGUGAGCUAACUUUUAGAGGCAGCAGUCGAAGGUAGAAUCAAUGAUUGGGGUGAAGUCGUAACAAGGUAAC
This 236-nucleotide ribosomal RNA is filed under the name uncultured bacterium. Its description in RNAcentral is "partial 16S ribosomal RNA". It matches the Rfam family "Bacterial small subunit ribosomal RNA", at positions 1263 to 1500 of the family's 1533-position model. The record is from RNAcentral.